This 200-nucleotide unclassified non-coding RNA is filed under the name Helotiales sp. RNAcentral describes it as "partial internal transcribed spacer 2". Lineage: Eukaryota; Fungi; Ascomycota; Leotiomycetes; Helotiales. The record is from RNAcentral.
UUAAGUUCAGCGGGUAUCCCUACCUGAUCCGAGGUCAGCCAUAGAAAGUUAGGGGUUCUGGCGCGUACCAUCCGAUUUCUAUAGCGAGAAGAGUUACUACGCUUAGAGCCGAAGGGCACUGCCACUGAUUUUAAGAGCUGCUAGGUAGCAUGCUCCAACACCAAGCUAGGCUUGAGGGUUAUAAUGACGCUCGAACAGGC